GAUGAAGAACGCAGCGAAAUGCGAUAAGUAAUGUGAAUUGCAGAAUUCAGUGAAUCAUCGAAUCUUUGAACGCACCUUGCGCUCCUUGGUAUUCCGAGGAGCAUGCCUGUUUGAGUGUCAUUUCAACCCUCAAGCACAGCUUGGUGUUGGGACUCGCGUUAAUUCGCGUUCCCCAAAUUGAUUGGCGGUCACGUCGAGCUUCCAUAGCGUAGUAGUAAAACCCUCGUUACUGGUAAUCGUCGCGGCCACGCCGUUAAACCCCAACUUCUGAAUGUUGACCUCGGAUCAGGUAGGAAUACCCGCUGAACUUAAGCAUAUCAAUAAGCGGAGGA
Molecule: unclassified non-coding RNA, 332 nt
Filed under: soil metagenome
Description: partial contains 5.8S ribosomal RNA, internal transcribed spacer 2, and large subunit ribosomal RNA
Rfam family: 5.8S ribosomal RNA (bases 1-120)
Source: RNAcentral